UGGAUGGAGAGUUUGAUCCUGGCUCAGAACGAACGCUGGCGGCGUGCUUAACACAUGCAAGUCAAGGGGAAAGUUCCUUCGGGAAUGAGUACACUGGCGCACGGGUGAGUAACGCGUGAGGAAUCUACCUUUAAGUUUGGGACAACAUUCCGAAAGGGAUGCUAAUACCGGAUAAUACUACAAUUCGCAUGUUUUGUAGGGAAAGGCGGGGUAACCUGUCGCUUUUAGAUGAUCUCGCGUAUCAUUAGAUAGUUGGUGAGGUAACGGCUCACCAAGUCUACGAUGAUUAGCCGGCCUGAGAGGGUGGCCGGCCACAUAGGGACUGANACAUAGGGACUGAGACACGGCCCUAACUCCUACGGGAGGCAGCAGUGGGGAAUUUUGCGCAAUGACCGAAAGGUUGACGCAGCGACGCCGCGUGUAUGAUGAAGGUUUUCGGAUCGUAAAGUACUUUCAGCAGGGAAGAAAUAUUUUUAUAGUAACUGAUAGAAGUUUGACGGUACCUGCAGAAGCAGCCCCGGCUAACUCCGUGCCAGCAGCCGCGGUAAUACGGAGGGGGCAAGCGUUGUUCGGAGUCACUGGGCGUAAAGCGCACGUAGGUGGAUUAUCAAGUCAGGAGUUAAAGGCAACGGCUCAACCGUUGUAAGGCUUUUGAAACUGAUAGUCUAGAGUAUCAGAGAGGAAUGCGGAAUUUCCGGUGUAGCGGUGAAAUGCGUAGAUAUCGGAAGGAACACCAGUUGCGAAGGCGGCAUUCUGGCUGAUUACUGACACUGAGGUGCGAGAGCAUGGGUAGCAAACAGGAUUAGAUACCCUGGUAGUCCAUGCUGUAAACGAUGGAUGCUAGGUGUUGGGGUGUAUAAGCCUCAGUGCCGAAGCUAACGCAUUAAGCAUCCCGCCUGGGGAGUACGACCGCAAGGUUGAAACUCAAAGGAAUUGACGGGGGCCCGCACAAGCGGUGGAGCACGUGGUUUAAUUCGAUGCUAACCGUAGAACCUUACCUGGGCUUGACAUCCGUAG
This 1017-nucleotide ribosomal RNA is filed under the name Denitrovibrio sp. RNAcentral's name for it is "bacterial SSU rRNA". It matches the Rfam family "Bacterial small subunit ribosomal RNA", at positions 1 to 993 of the family's 1533-position model. Lineage: Bacteria; Pseudomonadati; Deferribacterota; Deferribacteres; Deferribacterales; Geovibrionaceae. The record is from RNAcentral.